UUACACUGCGUAGUUUAUGCUGAUCGUGAGUGGUGAAACGCGAUCUAAGCUGAAUUCGGUAUUUCUCUUCCUAUUUUAUUAAAAAUCGGACCUCUACGGUUUUCGAUGUCUUCAAAAAGUGCUUAGGCCAAGUCUGGACAAUGGCAGCACACAAGACAGGCGGCCAAAGCGCCCGGAAGAAAGUCCAGGUGUCUAUGGUAAUUAGAGACGAAGUUGAACGUAAGCAUAGAGCUGGCGUAAACUCACUGCAGUAUGAUCCAGUAUCGCACAGACUCUAUUCGGCAGGAAGAGACAGUAUAAUUCGAAUAUGGAACUGCAAAAAUAUAAAAGAACCGUACAUCCAGUCAAUGGAACAUCAUACUGACUGGGUGAACGACAUUGUGUCGUGUUGCGGUGGAAAGAAUUUGAUAUCAGCUAGUUCGGACACAACAGUCAAAGUUUGGAAUGCUCACAAAGGCUUUUGUAUGUCUACAUUGCGUACGCAUAAAGAUUAUGUGAAAGCGCUUGCUUAUGCCAAGGACAGAGAACAGGUGGCCAGUGCCGGAUUGGACAGAGCAAUAUUCCUAUGGGAUGUCAACACUCUCACUGCUCUCACUGCUAGCAACAAUACAGUAACCACAUCCUCGUUAACUGGAAAUAAGGACUCUAUUUACAGCCUGGCGAUGAAUCCUUCUGGGACUGUGAUAGUCAGUGGCAGUACCGAGAAAGUGUUGCGUGUCUGGGAUCCCAGGUCAUGUGCAAAAUUGAUGAAGCUCAGGGGGCAUGCGGAUAAUAUUAAAGCUUUGGUGUUAAACAAAGAUGGUACUCAAUGUCUCUCUGCAAGCUCAGACGGUACCAUAAAAUUAUGGUCUCUUGGCCAACAGUGGUGCAUACAAACUUUCAGGGUACACACGGAAGGCGUUUGGGCUUUACUAGCCACGGAUACAUUCAGUCAUGUGAUAUCUGGAGGAAGAGAUAGAAAAGUAAUAAUGACAGAGCUGAGAGCAACUGAGAAAUGUACUGUUAUAUGUGAGGAAAAUGCUCCGAUCCUUAAAAUGGCUAUGACGCCCGAUCAGACCAGCUUGUGGGUAGCAACAAGUGAAUCUACCAUAAAUAAUUGGACAAUUACUCAAAAAGACUGGCAGUGUGGUGACUAUUGCGAAGACGCAAUGGGGAACGGAGGUGGUUUGAGGACUAUGGGACCACGUAACUCGGACCCUGCACAAAAAAUUAUAGGUGGUGCUGCAGUUAGGCAUUGUCAUGUAUUAAAUGACAGAAGACACGUUUUGACUCGGGACACUGAGGAGAAUGUGGCGCUUUAUGAUGUCUUGAAAGCUGUCAAAGUCGUUGAUCUUGGACGAGUAGACUUUGAGCAGGAAGUGAAGAAGAGAAAUAAGACUGUAUAUGUCCCUAACUGGUUCAAUGUCGACCUCAAAACCGGGAUGCUGACAAUACACUUGGGCCAGGACGAAAAUGACUGUUUUUCUGCAUGGGUGUCUGCAAAAGAAACGAACUUGGCUGACAACGAUGCUGUUGACCAAAAAGUAAACUAUGGAAAUCUACUACUUCAAGCACUUCUGGAGCACUGGUGGAGGCCGUUACAUGGUGAUGAUGAAAAUGAAGGAAAUGUUAAUGACGGAAAUGGUCCAACGCAUACGAGAGGAGGGAAUCCAUAUUUCUCAGUACCUGGACAUACGCCUGUUAUCUUCAGUGAGGUCGGUGGCAGGACUCUGUACAGAUUGCUCGUUCGCGAUGCAGCUGGAGAAACGGAAGGCGUUCUUCUAAAUGAGACUGUCCCUCCCUGGGUGGUGGACAUCGUUGUGGAUAAAAAUCUACCGAAAUUUAUUAAAAUUCCCUUCUACCUUUUGCCACACUCCACCUCUGGGGUGAAGAGUUUGAAAAAGGAUCGCCUGAUUGCCAAUGACUUUAUACAGGUACGCAAAGUUGCCGAACACGUCUAUGAUAAGGUAUUGGGGGCUGGAAGUGAUUCAGGUUCAGUUACUGGUGCUGGAAAUACGGUAUCAGGUGGAUCUCCAGCUGGAGAUAGAACGAACGCUGACUCAAACACGGAUAACACAUCGUUGGCAGAAGAGAAAGUUGAGUUGCUCUGCAAUGACCAGGUUUUGGAUCCAUCUAUGGACUUGAGAACGGUGAGACAUUUCAUAUGGAAGAGUUCUGCCGAUUUAACACUCCAUUAUCGACCAAUCAAAUAGUUAAAACCUGGACCAGAGCCCUCGAAGACUUAUCGAUAUACAUUGCGACACUAUGGCAUUACGGCCAAUAAAACUCUGAGUACGACGACAGUUCCGUGGGGUGUGGACGACAGCAAGGAACGGUUUUUGGUGGUGGUUUUAGUAGGUAUUCCGUAAGGCGAGUCCCACACU
Molecule: unclassified non-coding RNA, 2363 nt
Filed under: Neodiprion lecontei (redheaded pine sawfly)
Lineage: Eukaryota; Metazoa; Arthropoda; Insecta; Hymenoptera; Diprionidae
Description: wD repeat-containing protein 48, transcript variant X5
Source: RNAcentral